RNAcentral lists this ribosomal RNA (446 nucleotides) under uncultured bacterium. Its description in RNAcentral is "bacterial SSU rRNA". It matches the Rfam family "Bacterial small subunit ribosomal RNA", at positions 330 to 795 of the family's 1533-position model. The record is from RNAcentral.
ACCAGACUCCUACGGGAGGCAGCAGUGGGGAAUAUUGCACAAUGGGGGAAACCCUGAUGCAGCGACGCCGCGUGAGUGAAGAAGUAUUUCGGUAUGUAAAGCUCUAUCAGCAGGGAAGAUAAUGACGGUACCUGACUAAGAAGCCCCGGCUAACUACGUGCCAGCAGCCGCGGUAAUACGUAGGGGGCAAGCGUUAUCCGGAUUUAUUGGGUUUAAAGGGUGCGCAGGCGGAAUGUCAAGUCAGCGGUAAAAUUUCGGGGCUCAACCCCGUCGAGCCGUUGAAACUGGCAGACUUGAGUUGGCGAGAAGUACGCGGAAUGCGCGGUGUAGCGGUGAAAUGCAUAGAUAUCGCGCAGAACUCCGAUUGCGAAGGCAGCGUACCGGCGCCAGACUGACGCUGAGGCACGAAAGCGUGGGGAUCGAACAGGAUUAGAUACCCGAGUAAC